This is a long non-coding RNA of Sapajus apella (tufted capuchin), 3494 nucleotides long. RefSeq lists it as uncharacterized. NCBI's taxonomy places the organism in Eukaryota, Metazoa, Chordata, Mammalia, Primates, Cebidae. The transcript is spliced from 2 exons. The record is from RefSeq and is a predicted model, not a curated record.
AUCACGCCACUGCACUCCAGCCGGGGCAACAGAGCAAGACCCUGUCUCAAAAAAAGCAAAGCAAAGCUUUGGGGCGGAAGUUGGGGUGCUCGGACUUUAAAUCCCAGGCCCCCCACUUUGGUGUGAUUGCGGGCAUGCUCCUGACCUCUCUGCGCCUGACUUCCCCCAGCUGCAAAGGGGGCUGAUAAUGCUGCCCAGACCCCAGAGGCCCCCUAGGAGGCUCCUGCUGGGCAGCUGGUCCUGCCCCAGAGCCCUCCCACUCCACGCACCCCCACUUACACUCAAGGGCAGACGGGCCCCCCCCCAACCAAGCCAGGCCUGGUGGCCCUAGGACACUCUUGGCCACAAGAAUUCAGAUUAUUUUCUCAGCAAAUUUCUGACCCCUGUCCUGGGGCCUUGGCAGGGGCAGGGCUGCAUGGUCCUGGGGAUCUGACUAAAACCUCAGCCCCCCACGGGUCUGGGAACACAGGCAGGUUCUCUGCCAACCAGGAGCGGCUCCUGCUUGCCUGGACCCCACGGGGCAGAAAGAGUGGGCGUUCAUAUCAUUCCCAUUUUGCAGCCAGGCAGACUGAGACCCAGAGAGGCCAGAUAACUUGCCUCAGGCCACACAGUUGGCAAAGGAUAGGGCCAAACCUUGGUGAUGGCCAGACUCUAAAUCCAGGGCUCCACCAGGCCACCUCUUGCCUUAGGAAUAUAGCCUUCCCUGGCACUUCCUUAGCCAAGAAUCUUUCUAGAAGGGUGGCAGGCCUUCCUGCCCCAUAACCGGAAAAGGCCAGCUGCUCUCCGGGCCAGAAGAGCCAGGGAACAGCUCUUUGGAGGAGGGGGCUUGUGAGAGUGCGGCGGGCAGCACUGCAGCUUGCACGUGGUAGGGGUGUGGGGUCAAGGUGUGCAGGGCAAGGACAAGUCAGUCCCCGCCAGAAGUGCGCCGCUGAGGGGCCUACGUGUGUCCCUUUCAGCAGCACUGGCAUGGCACAUUCUGACCUGAGCAAUGGUGAGCUGCCCGGAAUAAGAACCGGAGGAAGAGAACCUUCCCCGGGUGGCAUGUGAGGCUGGGGUGGCACUCGACACAGGACAGUGGGCAAGGACAUGCCCCCCUCCAGGCCAAGGGUCUCAGGAGCCUUCCCUCCUGCUCCUGCUGUGGUCUCCCCCUCAGGCCUGGCAUGGGAGGAGUUAAGCUGCCUCGGGCACCUUGGCACAUAGCGCUGCCCAGAGUGUCCAGCUCCCCACCCCCACUGCUUUUCUUCCUUUUUGCCUUUUUCCUUCUUAAUUAAUCAUAUGCUGCUGUCCAAUUUAAAUAUGGAAAUGCCCAGGCCGAGGCGGUGCAAUUAUUCAUGAGGGCCGGGUGGCGGUCCGGGGCUCUCGGGCUGUGGGGAGUACCGUGGCAUCGCCUCCGUUCUGAUGUGUGUGAAAUUAUGUGCACAAAAGGCGCCUCCUUAUCUGGGUGUGUGAACUAAAUAAAUAAAUAAGGGCUUUUGUUUGUUUGUCGGCUCCUGCACAUGGCUGCUGGGACUCAAGCGCUCGUGUUGUCUGCGCCUCUGUGGGACUCGGGAGUCGGGAGGCAGGGGAGGCCCCCGCAGGCUGGCCAGGGGCUGGGGGCUGGGGGCCGGCCGCCGGGCACCUGGGGCCCUCUCCCUCCCCUGGCACCACCCUCACCCUGCAGCCCCCCCGCCAUACACACCCUCAUUGGAAAGUUUGCCCUGCCCGGGCUGGGCUCCCAGGCAGUCUGGCACCGUGCCAGGCUCGCCGCUGAGCUCGGGCAGCAGGGUGGGACGAACGCAGAGCACGGAGGACGGGGCCUGGCGACCUGGGCACCAGCAGAACCCGAGGCCAGGGGCCGGGGGCCCAGAAGAUGGAGAUUCUAGAGCCUUGGAGACGGAAUUCGAUGUUUUGCUGUGAUUUGGCAUUAAAUUACUGACCCAUGGGGAGGAGGGUAACUUUCCCUUAAAAGGUAUAAAAUGAAGUUCUCAGUCCCACUUUUUAAUUAAAAAAAAAAAAUCUCUGCAAAGAUUGUGCCUUCUGGCUUUUCUUUGCUAAAUGAAAGUGGCAUGUGUUUUUAUUUUAGAAGGCAGAGAUGUUUUGCUGUGCCCAGUGUGAGGAAGGGAAGGAAAAGAAAGGUCUUUUGAAAAUGUGCACGUCGACCUACAGCUUAAAAAUCCCAAGUGCCAGACAUUUUUCUCAGAGGAAAUAAACGUCUUCAACGUAUUAAUCUUACCUGUUGAUUAUAUUCUGUAAUGAUUUAUUCUAGAAUUUAAUCCUUGCCUAGAACUGAGGCUGUCUUUGGAAAGCGGAAGACCUAGUUCUCUUUGUCCCGGCGACAUUGUGCCUCUCUGUUAAAAUCACUGACCAUGGGGAUCUGGACCCAGGCAGCUGUGCUAGGCAGCUCGGCCCGCUCGGCCUUCAAAAAACAAGGGAUGGGAGACAUAUGCUUGGCUCACAUCAUUUUGUUCUGAUUUAUUUUAAACUGCUUAAGAUGAUUUUAGCACAAAGAGUGGUGUAUCUUCCUUGCAUUCUGAGAGCCACUGGAUUUUCAAGCUAGAGUACAAUUUUUUUUUAUCCAAAUUUAGAAAUUGCCUUACAGAGAAGACAACAGUAUGCUAGUUUGCCUUUUAACUCACUUUUAAAGAAAGAUACUUAAGAUCAAGUACAUUGAAUUUGGAGAUUGGUUCCCCCUCCGUUAUUAGGGGCUGGAAAUGGCCCAUUUUUCAAAACUAAGGUCGGAAAAGGGGUAUCUCUGGCAAAGGAGUUCUUCCAGGCUGGGCUUGUACCACAGAGAUUCUUCCACACACGUGUCUCGAGUCCUUGUCCUAUACACAGGUUUUACUCCCAGGGAGGAGUGUGGCAUUCAGUCCCAAUGUCACCGUGUGGAAAACAGUCCCUGCCUGGCUAAGUAACUGUCACAGGCAGUAGGGCCACUUCCCAGCAUGACCCACAAGCUAGAUGGUGCCCCUCGAGUGGUUAAGAGAUCCGUGCAAAUAUUAUUCUUUUAAAGAAGCCAACGCAAUCUUCACAAAUUGCAGUCUCAGCCUGGCUGCUGGUUCUACCUCUAAUAAUGGAAAAAAAUUUAAGAUUGGGGACAACAGGAAACGCGUUGGAUCCCCAGGGGAAGCAGCCUGGAAGCUACAGCAGGGGGUGGGGGACCCCAGGGCUCUGUUCAAGUCCCGGGGCUGUUCCCUUUAUUCCUCCGAGCCUCAGCUCCCCGGAUUUAAAAUGAGAACAGCACCCAGCCCAGCCCACUGCCAAGGGCUGUUGCGGGAAUCUGACAACAGCCACCAAUAUUUGCAUAGCCGAGCUGCCCAGUUUCAUUUUCUGUUUGAAAGUUUCUCUGAAGGGUGACGUGCUGGAGACACGAGAACAACUGCUAUCAUCUUAAUAACUUUUCUGGCAAAACACGACCAUGAUUGUUUAUGUUAAUCUCGCAACUGUUGACAAUAAUUCAUUUCAUUCUCAUCAUGAAUUUUAUCUAUUUGACUUAUAAUAAAUAUGAUCAUAUCAGU